UCCCAGCGGUCCAAGUCGCAGCCACAUUUGUUGGGUCUAAAACAUCCGUAGCUUGCCUUUCAAGUCCUAUGUGAAAUCGGGCAUCUCAAGUGUCCGGCGUGCAUAAGAUACUGUUUGGCUAGAGACCGGGAGGCGUAAAAAGUAUUUUAGGGGUAGCGGUUAAAUGCGUUGAUCCUUAAGAGACUAUCAGUCGCGAAGGCGUUUUACGAGAACGGAUCUGACAGUGAGGGAUGAAGGCUAGGGGCGCAAAGUG
This 253-nucleotide ribosomal RNA is filed under the name uncultured archaeon. RNAcentral describes it as "partial 16S ribosomal RNA". It matches the Rfam family "Archaeal small subunit ribosomal RNA", at positions 474 to 726 of the family's 1478-position model. The record is from RNAcentral.